UACGAAGGGUGCAAGCGUUACUCGGAAUUACUGGGCGUAAAGGGAGCGUAGGCGGACAGUUUAGUCAGAGGUGAAAGCCCAGGGCUCAACCUUGGAAUUGCCUUUGAUACUGACUGUCUUGAGUAUGGGAGAGGUGUGUGGAACUCCGAGUGUAGAGGUGAAAUUCGUAGAUAUUCGGAAGAACACCAGUGGCGAAGGCGACACACUGGCCCAUUACUGACGCUGAGGCUCGAAAGCGUGGGGAGCAAAC
RNAcentral lists this ribosomal RNA (250 nucleotides) under uncultured bacterium. RNAcentral describes it as "partial 16S ribosomal RNA". It matches the Rfam family "Bacterial small subunit ribosomal RNA", at positions 524 to 773 of the family's 1533-position model. The record is from RNAcentral.